Molecule: small nucleolar RNA, 133 nt
Filed under: Tauraco erythrolophus (red-crested turaco)
Lineage: Eukaryota; Metazoa; Chordata; Aves; Musophagiformes; Musophagidae
Description: Small nucleolar RNA SNORA55
Rfam family: Small nucleolar RNA SNORA55
About the family: ACA55 is a member of the H/ACA class of snoRNA that guide the sites of modification of uridines to pseudouridines.
Source: Rfam by way of RNAcentral
GCAUCUGAAUCUUUUCCACUCCUUGCAGUGCAGUGCUGGACUGGAGAUACCUGAUGCAACAGGAAAGCAGAGGGAAUCCAGACAAGCUCCCUUUCCCCACAGUGGGACUUGUCUCUACACCUUUGCAACAUUU